Molecule: long non-coding RNA, 1032 nt
Filed under: Zalophus californianus (California sea lion)
Lineage: Eukaryota; Metazoa; Chordata; Mammalia; Carnivora; Otariidae
Description: lncRNA (ENSZCAG00015001791.1)
Source: RNAcentral
CCUGCAGGCCCUGAGGGUGCAAGCCCACUGGGCGGCAUGGGUGGCAGAGGCAGGCCUCCCGGUGGUGGUGCGCGCAAAGACUCUGGCAGAGGCGGCCAGGGGGGCAGAUCAUUCAUCAGGGGGGGCGUGGGGGUCUCUUCACCCCAGGAGGCCCCUUCACCCCAGGAGGCCCAGCAGGGAGGCUCGGUGGGGCUGGUGGCUUCUCCAUCUUGAAGAGAAACUGCAGGAAAAACUGCUUGGUUUCCCGAUUCCAGUGAGUCCAGAACUUGCCUUCGGCCUCAUUGAUCUCCCUGCUUGGCACUUUGAAGGCGAUCGUCUCAUAGGGCUCGGCGGCCAUGAGCAGGUACUGCCAGCGCCGGUCAGGAGGCUCGAUCCUCUGCUCAUAGGCAGACAUGAAGCGGUGGCGGGGCAUGAUGCCCUCGGCGAUCUCACGGUAGUCAAUCUGGAAGAGGAGGCUCUGCUGGCCCAUCUCCGUGUCCCUCUGCUUGGUCAUUUUGUAGCCUGGGCAGCUAAUCUUCACAAACUUCACCUCCACCUUGACCUUUUCUGGCGCUGGCUGGGCGGGGGCCUCCUUGGCGGCUCGCCGGGCCAAGUUGGUCUGAUGCUUCUUCCCCUGGGUAUGUGCCAGGUAGCUCCCCUCGUUGUUGUGCAGGGUCAGACACCGCUUGCACUCGUACGAGCCCAGAUGGUUCUUCAUGAAAUAUGGGUCCUUGUUGAUGUCGAUGGUCUCCAGGGCCACGUGCCGGAGGCGCUCCCUGCGGUCUCGGUGGCUCUCGGAGGAGGAGGCCACGCCUCCACUCCCGGUCUUACCCCCAGGGGGACGCUGGAAUUCCAUGGUGAGGGCGUUGGGGCUUUACCACACUGGUAGAGAGACCCUGCGCUCCUCCUCACUCCACGCCCGCCGCUGCCACGAAUCAAGAAAGUGUUUUAUUGAGACAAAAUCUACUCCUGGUGAAGAGGUUGUGAAGAUUGUUAAAAUGACAACAAAGGAUUUAGAAUAUGACAUAAACUCAAUUGAUAAAGCAGCAGCAG